AAGCAGAGAGACAGGCAUAAGCAGAGAGACAGUAGACAGGCGUAAGCAGAGAGACGGGCAUAAGCAGAAUGUCAGUAGACAGGUUUAGCAGAGAGACAGCUUCAACAUAGAAAGAGACAAAAGAACAUAAUCAGCAGAGACCGGUAGACAGGAGACAGCGCAACCAAGGCAGAGUUUAUCAGUGGGUGUGAGCGAGAGAGAGAGAGAGAGAGAGAGAGAGAGCGCGAGAGAGAGAGACAGCUGUCUUAUAUCCUGUAAUUCAGUUCAUUGGAUGUUGGUGAAAAUGUAAAGGCACGGCAGAGCGCACUGGUGCGUGUUGAAGACGGAGAGUAGUGUUUACUCAUGUCGCUGAAUUUCACGGCGUUUUGAACGAACAAAUCUUUGGCAUUAUCGCCGAUCCGUAAAUAAGUGUUUCCUCCUCUCUGACGCUUAGCUGCUGCGUUGUUCUUCUUCAGCAACUUGUAAUGGCACGCCAUGCAGAUCUGUCAUCAGUGUUUCCUUCUGGUGUGUGUGUGUGUGUGUGUGUGUGUGUGUGUGUGUGUGUGUGAGAUCAUGCUCGUUCUCUUCCUCCCUGUCUCGGAGGAUCUGUAAAGCACGAGACAAUACAGCACGGUCUGAGGAACAUCUGAAGCGUGUGGAAGAAGUCGGCCAUGUUUGAUGGGCACUCUGGGUGGUGUGUUAGUGAGAAAAACAGGAAGUGAAGAGGAUGGAACAGGAAAUUAAUCCCGAGGAUAAUGAAUAUAAUAUAAAAUUCUGGUUUAAGUGUGUGUGUGUGUGUGUGCACGUCCUGAAGUGUUUUAUUCCUUCACACCACAGCGAAUUUUCCACUGAUUCCGUUUUGUAUUUAUUAAAGAACGACACACAAUGUAGUUAUACCCCAGCACGUGGUUUCAACGGAAGGAGUCUCCAGUGUCGGAGGUAAAGCUGGAAGUUGUUGUUUUUUUUUUUUUCUCUGACAUCUUUAGGACAGAGGGGGUUUUAAUCAUUUUUUUUUGUGUAUCAAACAGUGUUUAUUACAGAACGAGAAAGUGAAGGGACGACAGUUUAGGGCUGCCGCAAGAUAAGUAACGGCAGAAACUCGUGUUGUGGACGUUCUGUAACAAUAAACGGACAAAAAAUAUAUAUUUUCCAAAAAUGUCAUCUUUGGAGAAUUGUUCAGCAGCGGUUAGAAUCCUGGUCAUGAACUGACGAGGUUAAAAUGAGGGAUUGUCGGAGUGAGAGAAACGGCUAAACACGUAGCGUAGUGCUAAGAAAAACAUACACACAAGCACACACACACACACACACACAUUACGUUAGUGUGUAAAUGUUCGAUCUGUUACUGUGUGGGAUUUACACACUGCGUUUAUUCACGUUCUCCUCAUCCUCACUGUGUGCUGCACUUAAAUCUUGCAUCACUCUUGUUUUUAUUUCAAUGCUAAGCUACCUUUAGGGCUUUGAGCCGCCGGUCGUGUCCCAAACCCAUAACACUCUGGUGCUCGGUGUGGUUCGGACCCACCGCAGCACAGUGGAGAGGCUUCAAAGAGCCUGUAGACUAAACAAACAGCUGUUUCUCUCUCUCUCUCUCUCUCUCUCUCUCCUCUUUUUUUUCCUCUUCUCCUUUCAUUUUCUUCGUUCUUUCUCCUUUCCUCCUGGUCCACAUCUCGGAUUGUUCGGGGUUUUCGUUUUAACCCGUCCCGGACUCGGUGCUCUGUGUUUUGCGGUCGAGCGAGUUAAAAUAGCAGUUUAGGAAUGUUCUGUGUCACAGGUGUACAUCAACUCGACGCCUUAUUUCGUCUGCCUGGAAGUAGAAAAUAAAAAGAGUAAUAAAACGAACCGAUUCGUACCGACGCUGUAUUUUGACACUGGAGCGACGUGACUGAAAUGUCGCAGCUGACAGCGUUGUAGAAAUGACGGGUUUCAUUUAUUAAAAUGAUAUUUCACUGCACUGCUACUACCGUCGAAUAGCUCUGUUUUAAUUAAAUACAAAAAGUUUUGUGACGAUAACACAACACAGUCCUGUUCUCUGUGUAGAGUUCAUUUAUUACAGUCUCGGC
Ictalurus punctatus (channel catfish) is the source of this 2036-nucleotide long non-coding RNA. The record is from Ensembl. NCBI's taxonomy places the organism in Eukaryota, Metazoa, Chordata, Actinopteri, Siluriformes, Ictaluridae.